This 498-nucleotide ribosomal RNA is filed under the name uncultured bacterium. RNAcentral's name for it is "partial 16S ribosomal RNA". It matches the Rfam family "Bacterial small subunit ribosomal RNA", at positions 28 to 507 of the family's 1533-position model. The record is from RNAcentral.
GACGAACGCUGGCGGCGUGCCUAAUACACGCAAGUCGAGCGGACGAAUCGAAAGCUUGCUUUUGAUUCGUUAGCGGCGGACGGGUGAGUAACACGUGGGCAACCUGCCCUGUAGACGGGGAUAACACCGAGAAAUCGGUGCUAAUACCGGAUAACACGAAAUGUCGCAUGACGUUUCGUUGAAAGACGGCGCAAGCUGUCGCUACAGGAUGGGCCCGCGGCGCAUUAGCUAGUUGGUGAGGUAACGGCUCACCAAGGCGACGAUGCGUAGCCGACCUGAGAGGGUGAUCGGCCACACUGGGACUGAGACACGGCCCAGACUCCUACGGGAGGCAGCAGUAGGGAAUCUUCCGCAAUGGACGAAAGUCUGACGGAGCAACGCCGCGUGAGCGAAGAAGGCCUUCGGGUCGUAAAGCUCUGUUGUUAGGGAAGAACAAGUAACGCAGUAACUGGCGUUACCGUGACGGUACCUAACGAGAAAGCCACGGCUAACUACGUG